UACGUAGGGUGCGAGCGUUAAUCGGAAUUACUGGGCGUAAAGCGUGCGCAGGCGGUUAUGCAAGACAGAUGUGAAAUCCCCGGGCUCAACCUGGGAACUGCAUUUGUGACUGCAUGGCUAGAGUGCGGCAGAGGGGGAUGGAAUUCCGCGUGUAGCAGUGAAAUGCGUAGAUAUGUGGAGGAACAUCAGUGGCGAAGGCGGCUACCUGGCCCAAUACUGACACUCAGGUGCGACAGCGUGGGGAGCGAACAGG
This 253-nucleotide ribosomal RNA is filed under the name uncultured bacterium. RNAcentral describes it as "partial 16S ribosomal RNA". It matches the Rfam family "Bacterial small subunit ribosomal RNA", at positions 524 to 776 of the family's 1533-position model. The record is from RNAcentral.